This 109-nucleotide ribosomal RNA is filed under the name Acanthosepion pharaonis. Lineage: Eukaryota; Metazoa; Mollusca; Cephalopoda; Sepiida; Sepiidae. The record is from RNAcentral.
UUACGGCCACAUCACGUCAAAACACAGAUUCUCAUACAAUCACCAAAGUUAAGCAACGUCGAGCCAGGUCAGUACCUAGAUGGGUGACCACUUGGGAAUACCAAGUGCU